AGAAAACACGCGGCGGCUCGUUGUCCUAAAAUUUUGGUUUAUUUACAAUUCCGGGUUCUCGUCAUUUAACCGUGUAUUUCCUCAAUGCUGUUCUGUUGCCGCGCCAAUAUUAAAUAUUUAACGCGUUAUCGAUUAGACAUAAAUUCAGACGGGUAGCUAUUAGACGUAGUAAUUAUAUUAACAAGCGCCGAGUUGCACUAUAUUCUACCUCCUACAAUGAUAUUAUAGAAUCGAAACUAACCGUA
Molecule: non-coding RNA, 245 nt
Organism: Cinara cedri
Lineage: Eukaryota; Metazoa; Arthropoda; Insecta; Hemiptera; Aphididae
Source: the annotation of a GenBank genome assembly